CGUGGCCCUUAUCGAAGCCGAUUCAGUCCUCUUUUCCGACUGAUUCGGUCAAUAAAGGUGCCUAAAGCAACACUUUUACCGACGGUCGCUGAGUAUUUAUUGUAACUACUCCGCAACAAUUUGGGAAAGAACAUUU
This is a small nucleolar RNA of Esox lucius (northern pike), 136 nucleotides long. NCBI's taxonomy places the organism in Eukaryota, Metazoa, Chordata, Actinopteri, Esociformes, Esocidae. The record is from Ensembl.